CAGUCGCCGCGGUAAUACGAAGGGGGCUAGCGUUGUUCGGAAUCACUGGGCGUAAAGGGUGCGUAGGCGGAUUCUUAAGUCAGGGGUGAAAUCCCGAGGCUCAACCUCGGAACUGCCUUUGAUACUGGGGAUCUUGAGUCCGGAAGAGGUGAGUGGAACUGCGAGUGUAGAGGUGAAAUUCGUAGAUAUUCGCAGGAACACCAGUGGCGAAGGCGGCUGACUGGUCCACAACUGACGCUGAGGUGCGAAAGCGUGGGGAGCAAACAGGAUUAGAUACCCCCGUAGUCCCUGUCUCUUAUAC
Molecule: ribosomal RNA, 301 nt
Filed under: uncultured bacterium
Lineage: Bacteria
Description: partial 16S ribosomal RNA
Rfam family: Bacterial small subunit ribosomal RNA
Source: RNAcentral